Molecule: long non-coding RNA, 799 nt
Organism: Suricata suricatta (meerkat)
Lineage: Eukaryota; Metazoa; Chordata; Mammalia; Carnivora; Herpestidae
Exons: 2
Source: RefSeq, a predicted model, not a curated record
CUCUGUCUCUCAAAAAUAAAUAAAAAGCAUUUAAAAAUUUAAGAAAAAAUAAUAAGCACCUUCUCCAAACGUGAAGACAAUCUGGCCGGCCGCUCCUGGGCCUUCUUUUUUCUCAGCUUCUAGCAUCCAUCUGGCCCUGUCUCAGCCCUGCCUUUGAUCACCUCUGAUCUCUGUGUCCAGGCCUAGAGGAGGCCUGACCCCUAUGGGGAGGUGAGGGGCCCCCAGCCCCCUCCUCAGGGCAGAACAGUCCGGGCCCCAGGGCAGAACCAGCAAUCCUGGCGGGGACACUGGGCAGAUAAAGGCGGCCGCAGCAGCAGAGAGAAGAGCGAGCUGGAAUUUGGCAAGAAAAACAGAACUAUAAGGCCUCUGCAUUCUGUGACGCUGCACUUUUCCAAGAGCACGGGAGAAGGCCACCGCUGAGUUUCCAUUUCCAAAAUACCUGUCGGCCAGGCUGCUCUGAACCUCAAGGGCCCCAAUGCGGGUCCGGGCAACCCCCUCCGGAGGUAUAGGCUCCCCAGUGUUUAAUAACCUGCUGGCAUUUAACACUGUGCGGCCUUCCUGUGGUACGGACACACAGAGACGUGGGGCCCCAGGACACAGACGAGAGAGGAAAAUGCAGCGCACGACUUAGGAAGUGUGGUUCUACCUGUGUGUUAGCUGUGUCUUUGAUGUGAUUACUUGUGAUUCUUUCUAUGUAAACCUAACAGAUGACUUGGUAAUGAAUGCAACUCAUUUCUAACAGGGCAAUGCAUUUUUUUAUUGUGGUAAAAUAUAUGUAAUGUAAGAUUCAUCAUUUCAA